AGCAGUAGCCACGGUAAUACGUAGGGUGCGAGCGUUAAUCGGAAUUACUGGGCGUAAAGCGUGCGCAGGCGGUUGUGCAAGACAGAUGUGAAAUCCCCGAGCUUAACUUGGGAACUGCAUUUGUGACUGCACGGCUAGAGUGUGUCAGAGGGGGGUAGAAUUCCACGUGUAGCAGUGAAAUGCGUAGAUAUGUGGAGGAAUACCGAUGGCGAAGGCAGCCCCCUGGGAUAACACUGACGCUCAUGCACGAAAGCGUGGGGAGCAAACAGGAUUAGAUACCCGUGUAGUCCCUGUCUCUUAUAC
Molecule: ribosomal RNA, 303 nt
Filed under: uncultured bacterium
Lineage: Bacteria
Description: partial 16S ribosomal RNA
Rfam family: Bacterial small subunit ribosomal RNA
Source: RNAcentral